Long non-coding RNA from Salvelinus namaycush (lake trout), 360 nucleotides. RefSeq lists it as uncharacterized. NCBI's taxonomy places the organism in Eukaryota, Metazoa, Chordata, Actinopteri, Salmoniformes, Salmonidae. The record is from RefSeq and is a predicted model, not a curated record. The transcript has 4 exons.
AAAAAAUGUAAAGAUCUCCUCAAUUUAAGAAAAAGGACAAUUCAAUGGAUACCAAUCAACAAAGAGGUACACAGAUGAGGAGGCAUACAAAGAUAUGUCAAUCGGUAAUGGUGUGUACCAUCCUCCUCCCUUACCACUUCAAUAAAUAUCCCAUAAGCCUCUACAUUAUGGACAAGACACUCCCUACACCGCUGAUUAAUUAAUAUAACAGGAAACCUGUUUGCUCAACAUGCAGUGCAAAAUCAUUCUGUCUAUGGAUACAGAGAACAUCAACACAUUAACAUCAACACGCCAGAGGAUAAACCCAUUGGACUGAGAAUUUACCUCAUAUUUAGAUUUAUUUAUUCUACUUUGCCACUA